This 721-nucleotide long non-coding RNA is filed under the name Struthio camelus australis. Its description in RNAcentral is "lncRNA (ENSSCUG00000013335.1)". Lineage: Eukaryota; Metazoa; Chordata; Aves; Struthioniformes; Struthionidae. The record is from RNAcentral.
GGGUCUUGCCACUUGCUCCUGAAGGCAGCAGGGCGACAUUGCAAGGGGGAAGGAAAGCAACUGAACCCGACACGUCCUCAGGCUUCAGUCACUUGUUUUGGAAGUGGGGACUGUGAGGUGUUAGUGGUGGGACGUGGAGCAGUCGAGAAAGCCAAGGUUUUAAUUGUUGCUCCUGAACCCGUGGCUCUUUUUGCUCCCGCAGAACUCACUCACCGUCGUGGUGCCUCAGUGUCCAAGCUGAACCCCAGGGCUGGCAGCGCUCGCAGGGGACUGCAAAGCCCCUUCCACCGAGCGCAAUGCUCGGUGGCCCUCGGAGCAGCGAGUGCACAUCUGGUUCGAUGUGCGUCAAGGUUUAGCAGGAUGUGUCUUGCUUUCGGUGGGCAUCCUUCCAGAAAGAAGUUAAAAUGCAAACUGCAUGAAACGUGUUAUGUGACUGCAACAGACUACUACUAAUACUGACAUUCCACCAGGCAGAGGUAACACAGAUCAACUAAAGCACACUUUCCUUCCAACGUGCUGCUUAGCUGAAAUGGGUGCGUACAUUUUGUAUAUUUUUUUCUUCGAUUUCUGUCUUUAAAUAAUUUUUCAAUUUGCAAGUUUUAAUUUUUUAUAAGUGUAACCACUUGUGCUUGGCAAAUAGAAGGCUGGAUGAAGUUUGCUGCAAGCAUAUUCCUAACUGACUCACAAUAAAUUAUAUAACUCAGAAAAUAGUUUUUGGACC